RNAcentral lists this unclassified non-coding RNA (262 nucleotides) under Ascomycota sp. Its description in RNAcentral is "partial contains small subunit ribosomal RNA, internal transcribed spacer 1, and 5.8S ribosomal RNA". The stretch from base 1 to 47 matches the Rfam family "Eukaryotic small subunit ribosomal RNA", at positions 1785 to 1831 of the family's 1831-position model. Lineage: Eukaryota; Fungi; Ascomycota. The record is from RNAcentral.
AAAGUCGUAACAAGGUUUCCGUAGGUGAACCUGCGGAAGGAUCAUUAUCAUCGGCAGUUUACUGCUGUUUGAGAGGGGUAGAAACUUCUCAGGCCCCCUGAGAAGGAGUAUAUCUCUUUUCUUAACCCUUGACGUUUUGUGUACCUAUGUUUCCUCGGCAGGCUUGCUUGCCGGUUGGACAAUAAUAUAACCUCUUAUUCUUUAUUCAGCGUCUGAUUAUAUAUAAUAAUUACAACUUUCAACAACGGAUCUCUUGGUUCUG